This is a long non-coding RNA of Ruditapes philippinarum (Manila clam), 489 nucleotides long. RefSeq lists it as uncharacterized. NCBI's taxonomy places the organism in Eukaryota, Metazoa, Mollusca, Bivalvia, Venerida, Veneridae. The transcript has 3 exons. The record is from RefSeq and is a predicted model, not a curated record.
AGAGGCUAACAGGGCAUGAAUGUAAACAAAUAAUGUCUGAUCUGAUAAGCCCUAGUGUGUUAAACCUCAUUUUUAUUGUUGUGUUCCACUAUGUGAUUCCAAUUCUAGAAAUGAUUAUACGGUUAUUUUUUAUAAAAUACCUGAGGAUGUGAGUUUAAUAAAUGCAGGGAUUGUGAAAAUAAAAAGGAAUGAAUGGGAACAUUUCAAGAUCAAUACAUGACAACAGUUGCUCGUUUUGAAGCAUUUCACACAAUAAGAUUAACAAUCAUGGACACCAAUUCGAAAAAGUCUGAAGAUAAUAGAUGUACUUUCUUGGUUUGACUAGAGAAGUUAUGAACACAACAGUAUGAUGAACACUAAAGAAGAUUUUGCCAGAUAAAAGGAAUUCCAUGAUUGUUAACUGUCACACAAAUUGACAACUGGUAUUUGAAUCGCCUUAAGUUGUACAAAUGCAUAACAGAUGAAAAAGAAACUAUCAAACUGUUCAAA